This 19702-nucleotide long non-coding RNA is filed under the name Citrus sinensis (sweet orange). Its description in RNAcentral is "long non-coding RNA (CSIN_LNC002878)". Lineage: Eukaryota; Viridiplantae; Streptophyta; Magnoliopsida; Sapindales; Rutaceae. The record is from RNAcentral.
UCGGAGCAGGUCCGGAGCAAUCCCAGAUGAAGACCACAGAUCUCGAUCGAGAGAUGUGGACUAUGGGAAGAGGAGACGGCUACCAUCAGAGUGACAGAGUCACGCUUUUCAUUCUUCCGUGGCAUGUCAUACAAGACCUCAUAUUCUCUAUAUCUUACUGUAUUGCUCUUGGGUUGUUACAAUGCUUCUACCUAUCGCUUUUCCUGGUUACUGUGGCCUAAAUGCAGAGUGGUUUCUUGAGGGAAAAGUAAGUUCUCAUAUUUGUAGAAGGGAAGCAUAGAUUCUCUAUUCUUUCGUACUGCAUUCUAUAAACGUUACUGCCAACACUUAUUUGUUUGUUAAAAAAUGAUGAGUGACUUUGAGUUGCAUGCCAAUGGGGAUAUUCUAUCUAGGGUUGGACUCUUGAUAUCCUUGCCGAGUAUCCCAAUGGCUUUAUAUUUAUUCUACUGAAUCUAUUUCUGAGACAAUGGUUUUGGGGCUUCUGGUCACAUGUUACAAAGCCUACUCUAAUUAUAUCAUAGUUUGAAUUAGUUGUCCGUAUUGCUUUCUACACCUGUGUCUUCUCGUAGUUGUUGAUUAUAGAAUAUGGUUUUUUAUAGUUGAUUAUAGAAUAUGGUUUUUUUUCCAUGCCAACCCAUUAUUUUUAUUGGGAUUGUAUUUAAAGGGUGCUCGUAAGUCUGAGUCAGUGCAUGACUUUAAUAUUUAAACCGAUGCAUGUGAUAGCUGUGUCCUUCUGCCUUCUGGGUCCUUUGUAUCACUUCAAAUGACAUUUAGAUUUGAAUUUGGAAUUAGAAUUCAUCUGUCUUUUAUUAGAAUAGUUGAGUCUUACUGAUGGUGCUGAUGAUGCUGACAUAUGAAGAAGUCAAGAUGGAGGAUGUUGUUCCUUCUGUGCGAACCACUGAUGGUCAACUAAUUAAUGAUUCUUAGUCUUAUCUUAGAAAAUGAAGUCCUACUUCAGGGGUUUCUCUCGGACUUGACAAUGUUUAAUAUGUGGUCUUUGUAUCUUCCCAUCAAAUUGACCUUCCUCAGAAGAAGCAACAGCUGAUAUGUAGCAUGCCUUUAUUAUUUUCUUUUCAAGUGAGUUUUAUUUGAUCAGCAAGUCAUACUAGCAAUGUUUCAAAUAUUGCUAGGGCAUCGUAACUAUUUAUUAAAGUCUAUGUUAUUCAUCCUCCCAUUUUGAAUUAUAUCCACAAUGUAUGUGUGGUGCUGCUUAUGCUUAUGGACUGGUGGAUUACUUGGAAUGUUAAAUUCUUUUAGGUUUUUUCGCUUGGAAUUGGGGGUAAGGAUAAGUGGAUAUGGUGGCCAAUUUUUGGAGUUGUUGGUCUAGUAAGUGGCUUCCAAUCUUCUCUUUCGUAUCUUAGUGAAUGUCAACUAAGAAUCUGAUUCUUAAAGCUUUUCUUGAAGUCGUGAGUAGUGUUUGUUUUUUGGUGCUUCUGUUUUUGUUUGAUUCGUUUGCUGGUUCAGUGGAUUGCUUGUUCACCUUUUUGAAUUUUUUUAUAUCUUUUUCUUGUCCUUCGGAUAAAAUCUUUUUGGUUUUACUCGAAAAGAAGAAAAAAAAUCACGAAGAAAAAUGAGAGAGAGAGAGAGAGAGAAGCUUUUCUUGAAGGCAUGGUUGGCUGCUUUCUUUUCUUGCUUCCCUCUUUCUUUUUCUUUCUACUGAUUGUUUGUGAUUGUUCUUUGAAGUUUCAAUUAGUUAUUUUAAUUUGAUUAGUUCUCUUGAAGAUCAAUAUACUUUUAAAUAUUAAAACAGCUAUUUGAACUUUUGUUUCUUCUUCGAAAACACUAUUUUAGCCAUAAAAGAACUAUCUUCCAAAUCAUUAUAUAUUUUAGAAGUUCCGUUAUUUUGGUGGUAACUAGUAUAAUAGAAAGUUUUACCUAAUUUCUAGUGUAUGAUAUUAUUUUAUUAUGGUUUAUCCUAGAAUGAAAAGUUCUCAUAUCUGGUGUUGUGAGUUUCAGCCGGGUACGGUAGUUUUAGUAAAUUCACAUGGCAAAUAAUGUAUUUGUGUUUUGUAGAAGUGUGAUUCCCUUAAACUUUUGUUAUGAAUGGGUGGAUUUGGACGUACUUGAGUUUGAUAUGCUAUCUGAUCAAAGAGAGCAAAACACCUUCCAGUUAAGGGCUUUACUUCCCUGUUAUGAAAUCUGGGCUGUUUAUCAUGUAGGACUUACAUGAGGUCCCCAUUCAUGGGUGAUUGUGAUUGAUUCAUUGAUUGUAGGAAUAUGGUACUAAAAUCAUGUAGUGCUCUUUGAGGAAAGUUUAGUGGCCUCUUUGGCUGGUAGGUUUUCUUUUUCCAAGUCUAUUGACAUGGGGGCUUUCUUUUUAUCACCAUAUUCAGGGAGUGGAGUAGCAACCAAGGAAGAUGUGUUUGUUGGGCUGCAUUCAUUCGCUUUCUCAAAUAUUGGCUUUGGUCUGUCAAGUGUGCAAACAAGCCUUGACAAUUUUGGCUUUCACUUUUUUGCCCCCUCGAGCGGCCCUUAAGAAUGUGUGAACUGCUCUCCUGGAAGAGAAUGCCUAGAAAUAGUUGAAGCCAUGAAAUUGUCAAAAAAUGGAAAGGAUUUUGUUUAAUAGGUUUAUAUACCAUUUUGUAAAGCAUCAUCUCAUGUUUUUGUAAAAUUGAGUUACAUGUAUUAGGUCCAUCACAUGUAAAGGCCUCUUUCAUUAUUUAUUUGACUAUUUGUGGCUCGCUGUGAGCUUGUAAGACUGUUGUACUGACUUUGAGGCACAAUUGUGUUUACAUUUGAUGCAGUGUAACUGAUUUAGGAUAGUCAGUGAUGAGCUUUUAGUAAUUUGUAACCUGGAAUUGUUUCACUUGUAAUUGAUUAUUGUAACAUGUGUAGAACUAGUUGUAGUUUCAACAUAAAAGAUAAAGGAACAUUGGAAGUGUGCCUUUUUUUUUAACCUUUAUUAUUAUUAUUGUCUAUGUAAGUUGUGAGGUUUACCUGCACAUGGGAGUCGUAAAUUGUGGACUUCUGCAUCAUUCUAUUGGGCUGGAACUGAGCGUUUUGGUUGUUUUGAGAAUGUUGCAGGUGACGGCAUGAUGCCACAUUCCAUGUACAUUUCCUCUGUCAUGCAGUAUGAAUUUGUUGUAAUCAGAUUUGAUUUUCAUUUGUACCGUUUCUUUCGAUGGAUUUUUAUUGAUAGAUAGAUCAUUGUCUCUGUUUUUGUAUACCAGAAAAGUGAUUAGGGAUGAAAGUUUUGUGGUUUAUGGAGAGGAUUUGAAAUGUUCUGCUCAAAUGUACAUUAGGUUUCCUGUCUGGGGAAUGAGAUUAUGAGUUUUAAGGAGGCAUAAUCUCAGAUACCCACCUGACUAUGUUGUUCUGAGGGUUUCUACUUGCUUAAUGUGGAAAGCUGCCUUUCCCCGCACUGGCAGCUGCAAUUUUUACUUAGCAUGGCAUGCUCUCUCGUGCAUUAUUCUUGGCUUUUGUAUUCUUUUACAAGAUCACUCGCUUCAUCCAGUUCUGCUUUGUGAAUCUUUAGUUUUGUCAUGUAAUUUAGGAGUUGGGUAUGACUGAUUCUUGUUAGUUCCAUGUAUAAAUAUUUCCAACUGCCUGUGUAGUGUACGCGUCUGUUCCAUCUAUCUGAUGACCAAUCCUCCAGUUUACUCUGCCACUUCAGGAAUCUUUUUUAAUUCCAAAAAUUUUAUCUCCAUAAUUUAUAGUUAUGUAUUUUAUCAGCCAAUCUGUGCUGUUACUGUUUCAGUUUCAGUUUCAGAAAGCUCAAGGCAAAUGCCAGCGUUGUGCACUGGCCCUUGAUUUGAUGAUGUUGAAAGAGUUUCUUGUGCAUUUUCUUUACUUUAUACACAACGUGGUUCCCGAUACUGAAUGUUCAUGUCAUAUUUAACAACUUGAAGUUCCCGGCCGGGCCGGUUAAAUGUUAAUGUCAGUCUAAUUACAAAAAUUAAUGUCGUAUUCAGAAUUCAAGAGUGCAAAGCUGAAAGCUCAGCAAGUUGGAGAAGGCAGCGGUAUAUAAUUCUGAAAGCCUUUAACUUUUAGCACUUACCGGCUACGGCGACGAAAUUCGUCCCGUUUAUAUGACACCGGAUGUAUGGAGGAAUAUCGAAUAUUUGAAAGAAACGCAAAGUUUAAUUGCCGUCUAUUAUUGUCCUCAAGGAUCUGUACUUAUCCUCGGAUACGAACCUAGGUUGUCAAUAUAUCCUUAUAGGAUCCCCCUAUAUGGAUCCGGAUCGGAUCCCCCGUGUUACAGUUAACGUAACUUGCAGCUGUUUCUCCGUUUGCUGAAUUGUUACUGUAAAAUAUCUCUGAGCCCCUUGUGCUUUACAUUAUUCACAAUUUAUUAAUAAGUAUUGUGAAACUUUUUGUAUUGUAAAAUUUCGUUCAGCCCCUUACACUCUAUAUUCUUUCAUUAAAACCCUCAGAGUAUGAAAUUCAUCCCCUAUAAUUUUUAAAUUCCCAAAAUACCCUCCAUGUAUAUAAAAUAUAAUAAUUAUUAAAUGGAUUAUAAUUAUAAUUAUUAUUUUAUUGUAAUUAAGGAUGGGCAAAUUAGGUUUCGAUUCGGGUUGUUCGGAUUUCGGUUUGGGUUUCAACCCAAUCGAGUUCAAAAUACGAACCCAAACCAAACUGAAUCGAAAUUAAAUCGGUUCGGUUUGGGUUAGUAAUUCUGAUCGAAAUUUCAGUUUGAGUUGAAAUCAGGUUAUAAUAGUUUGAUUGUCCAAACAUUCUGAAAUACUAACUAGGCAACCCAAGAGGGGGGGUGAAUUGAGAUUUUAAAAUUUAAGCUAAGCAAACCACUCAACAAUUUAAUCUAUUGCCUUAAUCAAAUUGAAAACAAUAAAUUCAAUCAUGCACAAUAUUAAAAGAGUAAGGGAAGAGAAAACAAACACAAUGAUUUUUACGUGGUUUGGCAAUCCCCGCCUACGUCCACGCCUCCAAGCGAUUCAAGCUCGAGGAUUUCACUAUCUAAGCCUUUCCAAGGCUUUAACGAUUACAAUUGACUUCGAGGUGUCAAUGAACAUUUACAACAAGAGAUUAUAUCUCCAAUCUCUUCACUCAAGUGUCUCACACACUCAAACGAAUUAGAUUGAGCUUAUUUAUAAUUGGAGCUGAAAACUAGCCGUUAUUGACUUUCUGCACACUGUCGGAUCGCCGCUAACUAGAUGUCGGAUCGUCUUUUGACUAGUCAAUAUGACUGUUGGGGCUGAUUUUUAAAUUGUCGGGUCGCCGUUAACUAUAUGUCGAAUCGCUGUUUAGGUCCAGAGGCUACUGGUUGAUAUCGGCGAGCCGUUUAUCACACAUGUCGGUUCGCCGUUUAGGUCCAGAGACUACCCUUCAGUUCUGGUUGAUAUCGGCGAGCCGUUUAUCAAAAUUGUCGGAUCGUCGUUUAGGUUCAGAGGCUAAUCUUCAAUUCUGUUAGAUGUCGGCGAGUCAUUAUCAAGAUGUCGGAUCGCCGUUUUCUACAGUAACUGCUACAGUGACAUAUUUUCUAAAAUUAUAAUUUAAUCCCAAAACUUUAUAAAAUUAUAUUACGACCCAAAAUGUUAUGAAACUUUACAAAUAGGUCCAAUUUUAGAAUUUCUAUGUAAUGCUUUGUUAAUCCCAAAACUUUCUGAAAUUAUGGUAUAGUCCAAAAUGCUAUGACACUUUUCAAAUAAGUCAUUCUCCAAAAUUUCAAGCAAUACUUGUUUAUUUCAAAGUUUUCAAAAUUCUUUCAAUUAAAUCAUAAACUUUGAAAAACAACCAAUUUCAUAAAAUCAUUUUUUCAUUAAAUAUGAAACAUUUAUAAUGUGAAAAUAAUGAUUUAUUUAAAAAGAAUAAAAACAAUCAAUUUCAUAAAAUCAUUUUUUUAUUAAAUAUAAAACCUUUAUAAUGUAAAAAUAAUGAUUUAUUUAAAAUGUAUAAAAAAUAAUUUGAGCUUAAAAGAUUUAUCAUUCUUAAUCUUGUUUGUUAUCAUAAAAAUCAACAUUAUAGAAACAUAUAUUUUAACACAUUCGUCAUUAACCAACCAAAAUUUUAAAUUCUCAAAUCUUAAAUCUUAAAUCAGAAUAAAAAUAAAAGUUCAAUUCUAUAUAUGCAAGAGUUUGGAGCACAUAUCAAGGCCAAUUGAAAUUGAUGUUAAGCAAAUAGGCAUAAUCUAGAAUGUAUUUAGGGGUGGCAAUAAAAUCCGCCCGGACCCAACCCAGACUCGGCUAAUCAGGUCCGGGCAAAACCCGGACCGCAUAUACAAAUAAUACGAGUCCGGUUAUUGUAAUUUAAAACCCAGAUACUUCCAAGUCCGGUUCCGGUUAUGGCACAAAAAACCCGGAACCCGGAUCCGUGCUGGGUUUUGAUAAGUUUAAAAAAAAAAUAAUAAAUAAAGAAAAUAUAAAUGUAAUACACCCAAAAUUGAAACUUACCCUAAUUUUCUAUCCUAUUUGUAUGCAAACACAAGCACUGCUGACGGCUGCCGCACCUCCAGCUCUCCAACACUCCAAGCUAAAGGCCACCACUCAACAUUCCAAGGAAACACAAGCUGCCGGCUGCAAAAAGCAAACACCCCCAGCAAACACUCCAAGCCAGCACUGAUUGCAAAAGCGUCUUAUACAUCCUGCAAAAUCAUCAUCUGAUUGCGUCUUAUACAUCCUGCAAAAUCAUCGGCUUAGAUCUUGACUCUUGAGUGCUUUAAGCCCCAUUUGAUAGCUCUCACGUGCUGUUCUAUGACUAUGGUUCUUUGUUUUUUUUUUUCCUUGCUUUUGGCUUUCUCUAGCAUGAAUCCUUUUCAAAUAAAAAAUCUGCAAAUCAAUCCAUUUUUUUCGUUCUAAUAGCACAAAUUUCUUCAUAAUUUGCAUUUCUCCUUAAAAAAAAUCUUUGAAAUUAAAUGUUGUGCAGUCUGCACUUCUUACACAUCUCUCAAGCAGCCAUUACCUAACCGAUCAAAACCAGCACGGCAAUAGCACCCACGACCAAUCAUCACCGAAUCCAGCAGCCACGAGCACCACCACCAGCAGCAAAGUAGCGAUUUGCGAACCCAGCAGCCACGCGAAAUCACCACAGCAGCAGCCUCCAACAAACUCGGCCAGCACACCACCACGAUGCAUGAAGCCACCUCAGCAGCAGCCAGCAGUAAACCCAGCACCAGCCACUCGAACCCACGCAGUGCAGAUCAUCGACUCACGUUUUUCAGGCUAUUCUUUUGGCAAAGAACGACAAACAUUGCUCCAUGGAUAUCAAACUUUUGCAUUUUAGGCUUUGCUGGUUUUGGAAUUGAUUUGCCGUAAAUGGAAUGGUUUGCAAGGUUGAUUUCAUUGGAAUCUUUAAUAACCACAGUAAACCAGUAAUUUAUCCGGGCAGAGAAAGUCCGGAUAAAAAACCCAUGCCCGAGACGUGCCGGGCCUGACCCAGACAGGAUGUGAAAAAAUGGGGCACAAUCCAAGUUCGGGCAGCUGUUUUAUUGAUCCGGUCUAGUCCCGGGCAGGGCCAAACCUGGACCGGACCCGGGUUUUUGCCAACACUACAAGUUCUCGCUGAAAUAGAUGCAGCCAUUCUUGUUAAAGACAAACUACAGUUGCUAUGCAGAGAGUUGCAACGUCAGAAUAAAAUUCUAAUGGAUAAGUGCAAACGGGUAUCAACAGAGGAAUAGAAGCUGAGAUUAGAUUUGUUUGCCAAGUCCCGAAAACCAAAUCCUUCCAAAAACAUGCAUUCAAUUAACAAUAACGAAUAAGGAGGCAACGAAAUGCAAACAUCACCGAAAAUGAAAUUCCAAACAUCACUAAAAAUAACAUCAUCGGAAUCGUAAACAUCACCGACAUUAACAUCACAUUGUGCGCCCAACGACUACGAACGAAGAAGGAGGCAGUGACUGGAUCUAAAGCGAAGGGCCCAAGAAGACUAGAUCUGAAACGAAGAAGGAGGCAACAUUUGAAUCUGAAACUGCAACGCCGAUGCACCUGAACAUAGUUGAAUUGACACCGGUGGUGUGUGUGAGUGAGAUUGUGAGUGUGCUAGGGUUGAGGUUGUGCUUGUCUCGAUGUGGAGUGCAAAGAAGAGAAAAAAGGAAAUAAGGGUUUUGAUUUUUUGGUGUUCUGACUUUUUUUUUUCAGCUAACCCGAUCGGGUCUCGAUUUUGAUUCGGGUUCAACCCGAACCGAAAUCCAAGCCGAACGGGUUGGAAAUUUGAAUCCAUUUGGAUUUUUAUACUUAACACAAACCAAACCAAAACCAAAAUAAAAUUUCGGGUUUCGUUCGGUUUAGGUUAACCCGAUCCAAACGCCCACCCUUAACUGUAAUUAUAAAUAUAAUUAUAAUUUUUAAAUGGAUUAUUAUAAUAAUUAUUAAUAACAAUAAUAAUAAAGUAUUAUAAUUAAUUAAUCUAUUAACAAUAAUUAAUAAUAAUUUUCUAGUUAUUGUUAAUAAUAAUAAUAAUAAUAAUUAACAAUAAUUAUUAUUAAUAAUUAAUUUUUGAAUAAUAAUAAUCACAAUAAUUAAAAUACAAAAUAAUAAUUACAAUAAAAAUUAAUUAAGGAUUUUUUAAUAGUAAUUUGUUACAAUUUAACUCAUUCCGAUUUUGAUUCUAAAACAAAGUAAAACAUAUAAAUAGUAAUAUAGCUCAUUGUAAUUACGAUUCUUGCAAUUCAAGUAAAUAAAUUAUUCUGAUUCUAAUUCCUCAUUUCGAUUCUAACUCAUUAUGUUUCCAACUAAUUUUGAUUAUUGUUUAGUGAAUGCACUAUAAAAUUGUAAACAUUUCAUUUUUUUCCCCAUUUCUUCUUCCCCACUCUCCCUCUCUUUCUCUAUGAUGAGUCUAAUGAUGGCUUCAAUUAUCGAUGAAGGUUGCUUAUGAAAAGAAGUUAAUAGUGGAAAUGGAUGAAUUCAAAGGAAAUUUGCUUUUUAUUUUGUUAAUCCUUUUAUCAUGAAAAUAUUAAUUAUUAUAAGAUGAUAUUAUAAAGAAGAUGAAUGAUAAUAUCCUUAAAAUUUUUGUUGAUAAUUAAUAUCCUUGAAGGUUACUAUAAAAUCCUUAAUUAAUUUUUAUCAUAAUUAUUAUAUUUUAAUUAUUGUGAUUAUUAUUAUUAUUAUUCAAAAAUUAAUUAUUCAUAACAAUUAUUGUUUAGUAUUAUUAUUAACAAUUUAACUAAAAAUUAUUAUUAAUUAUUGUUAAUAGAUUAAUUAAUUAUAAAUUUUUAUUAUUGUUAUUAAUAAUUAUUAUAAUAAUCCAUUUAAAAAUUAUAAUUAUAAUUAUAAUAAAAUAAUUAUUGUACUUGUAAUUAUAACUAUAAUCCAUUUAAUUAUAAUGAUAUUUUACUUAAAUGGAGGGUAUUUUGAGAAUUUAAAAAUUAUAGGGGAUGAAUUUAUACUCUAAAGGCUUCAAUGAAAUAAAAUAGAGUGCAAGAGUCUGAAUGAAAUUUUACAAUGCAGAAAGUUUCGUAAUACUUAUAUUUAUAAAUUUUCAAUAAUAUAAAGUACAAGGGCUCCACGAUAUUUUACGGCAACAAUUCAGAGAAGAGUAAAGCAGUUAGGGGUGUCAAAAAAACCCGCAAAACCCGGACUGCAUAUACAGAAAAGCGGAUCCGGGUUUCAGAAUUUAAAACCCGGACAUAUCCGGGCACGGUCCGGGUUCAGCACCAAAAACUUGGAACCCGGACCUGGACCUGUUUUCCCAAUUAAAAAAAAAAAAUCUAAAACCAGUUACCCAAACCCAAAACUCCCAAAUCCAAAAAUGUCAAAACACCCAAAUCCGAAAGUCCCUAAUUCCCCAAAUCGUAAAACACCCAAACCCAAAGGCAUAAGCAGCGACGCUGCCACCGUCACCGUCGGCUAGCACCCACCAUCAGUCUGUCACCUUCGCCCCUCGGCACUCGGCACUCGGCAUCAUCUCUUCUCGUUUGCAUUUGCUGACUCGGUUUUGCUCAGUUGCGGCUGUGACGGGAGUCGUUCGUGCAGCGGCAGCAGCGCAGUGCAGCCCCCUCCGGCGCCGUCAGCGUCAGUGCCACCGUCUCCAACUCUCCAUUGCCACUUUGUCAUCCACCAUCAGUCCAUCACUCUGCCAUCACAGCCACCACUACCAGCCGCAGGUAUUGAUUUUUUUCCUUCCAUAUUUUGUCUUCCCAGUUGCAUUUUUGCCGAUUGCUUCUCUGUUGGUGUUGGCUGUUUCUAUUCGUGUUUAUCUUCGGCCAAUUUUGUGCAUGGUUGCUGACUUGCUGUUGCUGUGAGGCUAAAUGGUUUUGACCGUAGAAUAUGAGGAAAAUAUGGCCAAUUUUGUGAGGGAUCCUUAUUGGCCUGCUCGUGUAAUAUACAAUAGCACUAUUGAAGUGGAUUUUUAAUCAAUGCUGACAGCAAAUUUUGUUAGUUAUAUCAGUCAUGACUAAGCUUAUUGUUUAAUUAAUUAAGUUGCUUGGUGCAUGCCACUUACCAUCUGCCACUUUGACAAUUAUUAGAUAACUUCUACCAAUCUGUUACAUCUUAAAUUCUUAAUCAAAUUUAUUUUCAAUUUAGGAUAGUUGUAUGACUUUGCUGAUUAAAAAGGAGCCAUCGUUUAUUUUCAAUUUAUUUUCAAUCUGUUACAUCUUAAUAAAAAUGAAAGAUUUUUUUUUUAAAUAAUUGUUUGCGGGCUUAGAAGCCCGGAAGACAAAACCCGGACCCGGGGCACGCCGGGCUCAAGCCCGGACCGGACAUGCAAAAACCGGGUUUUGUCCGGGUCCGGGUUUCAAUUUUUGGCAUCCGGUCCGGUCCCGGGUUGCACCAAACCCGGACCGGACCCGGGGUUUUGCCAAGCCUAAAAGCAGCUCCUGUAAGUUGCGUUAACUGUAACUCAGGGGAUCCGGAUAUAUAUUUCAUUUACUUUGUUUGUCACCUUUUAUUAUUGCUUGCUGCAACAAGCGCUAGUCUGAUCAGGGAUUCCAAAGUCUCGUUUUAAUUUCAUCUCAAUAAAUUAAAGCCAGGAUAUUAUUUAUUUAAAUACGCGGGAUUAAUAAAAUCUUUAAAUUAAAGCAAAUCGUGACAAUAUUGUGAUUGAAUGCGAGCAAUUUCAUUUCUUCAGGAAUAAGCACCACCCUAUUCCAUAAAGAACAAAAGGCAAUUUGACCAAAGAUAAAGACAUGCAUCGAUCAGUCGGCAUGCAGCCUGCAGGACGUAAAUAAUGGAUAAUAUUUUUAUAUACGAGCCUCAACUCGGAAGAGGCACCCACAGGCACAUAUGAUGAUAAAAAUUGGUCAAACUUAGAAAUUAUCCAAUGAUAGAUCCAAAUAUCUCCAAUCCACAAUAUUUUAAAACUCAUCAUGAUACGUAAAACCUCGAAUUUUAAUGACAAACAAAUCCAUAUAUCAAAUGAGCUUUGCUCUAGACAACCGAUGAAUGUUAGUCAAUCGGGUACGUGGUUUUGUAGACGUAGCUAAUUUGCUCAUGAUUAGUAGAAGAAAGCAGCAGCGACUGCAACACCAGCGACGAGGGCGGAGACUUUGAGGGAGCUUGCACCACUCCCUUCAGACUUGUUCUCAUCUCCCUCGCCCACUGGUCCUGGCAUUGCAACCUCAGGCAACUUAGCCUCGCCAGAGGGGCCUUCUGCAGGUCCAGGUCCAGCAGCUGGUCCACUGCUUGGGCCUCCUGCUGGGGCUUCUCCGGGUGCCGGUGCGGGUGCACCACCGGCUGGAGGUGCCUGUGUUGGUGCCUCACCGGGUGCCUGAUUUGGCUGCUGAGGCUGCUGGGGCUGCUGGGUAGGUGGCUGUGUCUGUGGCUGAUCAGGCUGCUGUGGUUGCUGGGCAGGUGGCUGUGUCUGUGGCUGAUCAGGCUGCUUGGGUUCCUGAGGCUGAUUAGGCUGCUGUGGCUGAUUGGGUUCCUGGGGUUGGUUAGGCUGAUUGGGUUCCUGCGGCUGAUUAGGCUGCUGGGGUUCAUUGGGUUGUGGCUGAAUAAUGGGUUCCUGCUGGGCUGAGGCCACACUGAUAAUGGCUACAAAAAUGAGAGCAAGAACAAUGACCAGGCGAGCCAUCAUGUCCGAUGGGGUUUGUGUUUUCGUCUUAUUAUUUUUAUUAUUUUUAAUUUUUUGUCCCCUUAUAUGCAAGGUUCUCUACUGAAUAUAGAGAACAAUGCAGAUCGUUCAAAUGCUGGGGAUGAUUUGAGGAAGAGAUUGUCGGGUUUAUUUAUGCUGAUGGGUUUGUCCUUGAUUAGGGGAAUUCAUCAUAUCUUGUGGUGGCACCCGUUGCUUUAUUUCCACAAACUCAGGAUAGCCAUUCUGAGCUGGUAAAUAGGAAUUAAUUUAACAAAUUGGGAAGAAGCUUUCUUUUGCCUAAUUUUAGUAAAAAUUAGGGUUCCAUUUCUUUGCCAAAUUCCAACCAAAUCGUCUUUGAUUUAACAUAAUUCUUGUUAUUUUGCUUCAGUUUUCUACGUUACCAAGUCUCUAUUUAAAUGAUUCAACUAUUUUUUUUUAAUGUGUAAACAUAUAAAUUCUAUGAUCUAAUAUUAUCUAUGUGAUUAUCUCCAUGUAAUAUUCAUUACCAAUCAUAUUUGCAGCAUGUCCCAAGAUUCCUACAGAAGCAGAGCUGCCAAUUCCUACAGCAUCAUUACUGUUAUUUUACAAGUUCAAGGCUCCAAGAAACUCCCUUUUAUGAUCCAAGCAUGCAUUUAGUGCGUUUUACACAUUUAACAUCGUCUCCUUCAGUGGAGUUGGUAGAGUUGCAUUAUUGAACGGAGUAGUAUAGGCUUGGCAAAAUCCGGGUCCGGUCCGGGUUUUGGUGUUGCCCGGGACCGGACCGGAUGAGAGAAAUGCAAACCCGGACCCGGGUUAAAACCCGGUUUUUCCGGGUGCGGUCCGGGCUUGAGCCCGGCACCUUCCGGGUCCGGGUUUUGAUCCGGGCUUUUUAAACCCGCAUGUGAUAAAUUUAAUUUUUUUUCAAUUUUUUUAUUUUUUUAAAAUUUAUUAAAAAACCGGGUCCGGUCCGGGUUCCGGGUUUUUUGUGUUGAACCCGGACCCGGGACCGGAAAUGUCCGGGUUUGAGAAUUUCAAACCCGGAUCCGGUUUUUAUAUGCAUGCGGUCCGGGUUUUGCCCGGACCGGAUUGGGCGGGUCCGGGCCGGGUCCGGUCCGGGCGGGCUUUUUUGACACCCCUAGAGUAGUAUAUUUCCAUUCGUCUUAUGGAAUGAGACGGAUAAAAAAGGACUGUAAUUAAUGUAAGACAAAAUUAAUAUUCAUCUGAAUAAGUUCUUAUGGUGUGUUUGGGAAAUUGGAAUUGAGGAAUAAGAAUGAAACUUAUGUUUAUUUGACAAAAUGUAAUUUGGGAAUGAGAAUAAAAUAUAUGGGUCCUACACAAUUUGGGAAUAAGGAAUGAGAAUCUCAUUCUCAUGGGGGAUUGAGAAUGAAAAUGUGUAAAUGGGAAUGAAACAUAAAUUUAUUUUUCUAUCCUUCUAAUUUUUUCAUAUUUCCUAAAUUACCCUUAUUCAAAUCACAAAUAAUUUUAUUAUUUUAAAUGUCAUUAAUAAUAAUAAUAAUUAUUAUUAUUAAAUUUUAGUAACUUUAUUAUUUUAGUUAUUAUUAUUAUUAUUAUCAUUAAUAUUAUCAUUAUUUACAAUAAAAAUAAUGAUAAAAAUAAUAAUUAAUAAAAACUGCUGUACCGNNNNNNNNNNNNNNNNNNNNNNNNNNNNNNNNNNNNNNNNNNNNNNNNNNNNNNNNNNNNNNNNNNNNNNNNNNNNNNNNNNNNNNNNNNNNNNNNNNNNNNNNNNNNNNNNNNNNNNNNNNNNNNNNNNNNNNNNNNNNNNNNNNNNNNNNNNNNNNNNNNNNNNNNNNNNNNNNNNNNNNNNNNNNNNNNNNNNNNNNNNNNNNNNNNNNNNNNNNNNNNNNNNNNNNNNNNNNNNNNNNNNNNNNNNNNNNNNNNNNNNNNNNNNNNNNNNNNNNNNNNNNNNNNNNNNNNNNNNNNNNNNNNNNNNNNNNNNNNNNNNNNNNNNNNCCGUACAGCAGAUAAUAAAGUUAAUAAAAUUUAAUAAUCAUAAUAAUAAAUGUUAAUAAUGAUAGUAUUAAUAAAAAUAAUAAUAAAAAUAAUUAAUAAUAACUAAAAUAAUAAAGUUAAUAAAAUUUAAUAAUAAUAAUAAUAAUAAAUGUUAAUAAUGAUAAUAUUAAUAAAAAUAAUAUUAACAAUAAUUAAUAAUAACUAAAAUAAUAAUGAUAAUAUUGUUAAUAAUGAUAAAUUAAUUAUUUUUAUUAAUUAUUAAUACUAUGGGUAUUUUGGUAAAUUGAUUCUCAUUCCUCAUUCCCAUUUAUUUUGUCAAGUAAACACAUCAAUGACAUUCUAGUACAUUCUCAUUCUCAUUUAUUUUUGUCAAGUAAACAUUGAAAUCUCAUUCUCAUUCUCAUUCCACCUCAUUCUCAUUCUCAUGAGGUAAACGCACCAUUAGUGUCAAAAACUUACAAAUGUUUGUUCUUUAUUCCUUCAUUUUUAGUUUUUAUGAGUAGAGAUUAAAUAUUCAUAAUUGUAUGCAUAAAGCUUAAGAUUGAGGACAUAAACAUUUAUGAAAUUUUAAAUCAAGUUUACCCUCCCGCCAAUAUUAACUUUAAGAACAUAUGAUUUUAUGUAUGUGUGCUCUUAUAUGUAUGCAUAAUGUCAAGCUAUUGCGCACUUAGCAAUUUUGAGGAAAAGAAACAUAGUUUUGUGAGAAAAAUAUUUUCAUUGGUGUGAAGAGGGUGUGUUAAGUAUAAAUUUAUAUUAAAAUUUUAAUAAAAGGUGUUCAAAAUAUUUUAUAGGGUACAAAUAGUCAUACUUUUUAACUAAUGACAUUAUAUUGCAUAUAAGUAACAAUCACAUUACUAAGACAUAUACAAAAAAGUUAUCUCCACGUGUAGGAGUAUUAAAUUUAGUUAUCUCCAUGUGUAGAAGUAGGGGUGUACAUGGGUUGGUUUGGGUUGGAUUUUAAGUCAAACCAAACCAAACUAUAAAAAUUUGGAUCCAACCCAAACCAACCCAAAUAUUUUUAACCCAAUCCAAACCAACCCAUUUGGGUUUGGUUUGAAUUUUAUUAUCAAAAUAAUUUUUAUUUUAAUAAAAUUUAAUUAUAUCAAAAUUAUAAUAAUUAUUAAUUGUUAUUAAUUAUUAAAUUGAUAUUAAAAUAUAAAAAAUAUAUAGUGGAUAAAAAUUAUAAAUUUUACAAUAACUUAAUCCUCAAAUUAAAGAAUACUAGAAAAUCAAAAUAAAGUUUAAUCGCAAAAAUUAUUAUUUCUCAAUAAAGAAGAACAUACACUUUAAUAAUAAACUUUCACAAACAUGACAUAACAAUCUAAUAAUAAAUUUUGCCACUUGUUAUUUAUUUAAUUAUGCAAUAUUUAUUUUUAUUUAUCGUUUUGGUAGUUUUGCGUUAUGUUGUCUACUUAUAUGUUUAAUUUUAUUUACACUCUGAUAUUAUAUAGUGUGUAUGCUUUAUGUUCUAAUUUCAUCAUAUGGUAAGCAAAGUUUUGUACAGGGCCUAAUAUGGGCAUUACAUUCAAUUAUUGACAAAAAAUUAGCCACCAUCUAGCAUAUCAGACCCAGUCUAAGUCGAGUUAUUAUUGAUCACUAGUAGAGUCUUAUGCUCUUUCUAUGACGAUCCUUCCAUGUGGGAGAAAUUAUUUUUGUAAAUAAGAAAAAAAUUUAUGUUAUUUACAACAAUAUUUAUUUAAUUUAAAUUUAUUUUUACAUGUUAUUUUUAUUUUCUAACUGUUGACAAUUGAUCAUGCCGUAAAAAACUUAAUGGUGGCCUUUCACUUAUUUGUGUUCAUUUAUUUUGUUUUCAUUUAUUUCAUUUGAAAAAUUUGAGUGUUGGGGUUUUGUCCAUGACCUAUGGGUAAACCAUACCCAACUCAUAAUGAAAUGAUUUUCUAUAUAAAACUCACAUUUAACCCAUUUUCAUGAUUUACCCAACCCAAACCAUUUAAUUUGGUUUGGGUUUGGGUAAACCCAUGGGUUGUGGGUUUAUGCCCACCCCUAUGUAGAAGUAUUAAAUUAAAAUAAUAAUACAUUGAAUCAUAUAAACCAUGACAAUUUGUUUUUCCUUAUAUGAGCUUAACCAUUGUUUUCUUUAGUUAGCCACUUGAAUUAAAUUGUAGGGAAGGUAUGGGAUGAAAAUAUUAAUGACCAUUAACUAAGCUAAUGCUUAGUUAAUUGCAAUUUCUAAAAUAAUAAUAAUAAUAAUAAUUAGUUAAUGGGAUAAUAUUUAAUUUUAUAAUAUUAAUAGUAUUAAGCAUCAUAAAAUUUUAUGUUAAGUGAUGUGUUAUCAAUCAAGUAAAUGAUAUAAUAAUACAUAUAAAAAUAUAUGAUCUAGUAACUUUAUGCAACACAUUAUUUCAGUUGAAAUGUUAAGAUGUAAAAUGUCUAUGGUUAUUAAUAAUAGGUAUUCCAAAUUUUUAUUUUAAUAUGUCAUAAAAUAUUUCAUUUUGAGGAAAUUAUAUGAUAGUAAAAUGUAUAAUAACACAAAUGACAAAUAUGAAAAUAGCAUGAAAUUUAGUUCAGUGAAAACUCUCCACUAUAAACUCUUGGAAAUUACGAGAAGGCUGGUUAAAAAUUUAUUUAACUAAAUAUUAAAUCUAUAGAGACUUAAGAUAUCACGUAUUUGGCCAUUCGGCAGACUGGGAAAGACGAAACCUGAAUCAAAUCCAUAAGGGUUUCACUGUACAACCAGCGCAGAAAACAGAGUUACAAACAGAAAUCAAAGAACAAGAGAAAGGUGAAUACAAUUUGCUCAAGCGCUGUUAGUUUUUUAAGCUAAAGGGUUAAUAAAACACACAUCUUCAGAGGGGAUAAGAGUAAGGGUACCUAAAUAAAACCCGAUUCGAUUCUGCGUUUUGUUAAUUUUUUUUUUUCUUAUCCGAUGUUUUUCAGUGUCGUUUUAGUGAAAUGUAUAUGUAAUUUUUUGUUUACUGGAUGAUGUAAUUUGACAGGUUUUUAAGGAUUUGUGUCCUUUUGACUUCAUGAAGUGGGUGUUGGAGAGUUGUCCUUUUUAUGUUAUUUUUGCACUUGUGGGUAGGGUUUCUGUGUAAUUCAUGUAAUUUUACCAGGCGGGUGUUGCAGAUUUGUGCUUUUUUUUUUUGUUAUAGGAUGGAUGGUGAAGUGUUUCUUAUUAAUGUUAUAGGAUGGACGGUGAAGUGUUUCUUAUGGUUCUUAAAUGUAUUCCUUGGUCGGUGAUGGAUCUUUUGUAUUAAUAAGUGUUGAUUAUGUGUUUAUACAUAUGAAUCACAUUCUGCUUAAAUUUGAGCUAUGUUGGUCUUUAAUAUUGGUGAUCUUUGGCUCUAAAACCUGUUGAUGUAGAGAAGCAGAACAAUUUUGAGUGGUCUUUUAUCUUUGUUCAUAGUUCUGCAUGGGAGGAAUGGAGAUAAUAUUUCUUUAUUUUGAUGUAACUUGGUCAGCUUAAAUGGAUUCGAUGGCUGAAGAACAAAUAGAUUAUGAGGAGGAGGAGUAUGGAGGGGCUCAAAAGAUGCAGUAUCAGGGAGGUGGAGCUAUACCUGCUCUUGCAGAUGAAGAGUUGAUGGGAGAAGAUGAUGAGUAUGAUGAUCUAUAUAAUGAUGUUAAUGUCGGAGAUGGUUUAUUGCAGUUUCAGCAGCCUGAGGCACCUCCCCCAUCCGCUGGUGUGGGCAAUGGAAGACUUCAAGUUAAGAAAACUGAUGUUCCCGAGCAACAAGUUCAAGCUGGGGUCUCACAAGGGUCAAACGUCCCUGGGGUUUCUGUUGAAGGAAAGUACACCAAUGCUGGGACCCACUUUCCUGCUCAAAAUGAUGUGCAGGUUGCUGUCAACAGACCAAACAUGGGAUCUGGUAAUUACCCAGAUGGAGCUUCUGUUUCACAAAAAGGGAGUGUCCAAGAGACAACUCAUGAUGCCCAUGUUAGAAAUAUGGGUUUUCAAGGGUCUACGUCAGGUCCCUCAAGAACUGGAGUUGAUCCUUCUAAUAUGCCGGGAAGAGUAGCCAAUGAGCCUGCACCUGUGCUAAAUCCCGGUGCUGCUGGUCCUCAAGGUGCUCUGAUUCCAGCUAAUCAAAUGGGUGUGAAUAUAAAUGUCAAUCGUGCAAUGGUGAAUGAGAAUCAAAUCCGGCCUCCUCUAGAGAAUGGUGGGACAAUGCUGUUUGUGGGAGAAUUACAUUGGUGGACAACUGAUGCAGAGCUUGAAAGUGUUUUGUCUCAGUAUGGAAGGGUCAAGGAGAUUAAGUUUUUUGAUGAGAGAGCUAGUGGUAAAUCCAAAGGUUAUUGCCAAGUCGAAUUCUUUGAUGCAGCUGCUGCAGCUGCGUGCAAAGAUGGAAUGAAUGGUCAUGUUUUCAAUGGACGACCAUGUGUUGUGGCUUUUGCUUCUCCUCAAACAUUGAAACAGAUGGGAGCUUCUUACAUGAACAAAAACCAAGGCCAGCCUCAAUCACAGACUCAGGGAAGGAGACCUAUGAACGACGGUGGUGGGAGAGGUGGUAACAUGAAUUAUCAGAGUGGUGAUGGAGGUAGGAAUUUUGGAAGGGGUGGCUGGGGACGAGGUGGGCAGGGUGUACCCAACAGAGGUCCUGGUGGUGGAGCGAUGAGGGGAAGAGGGCCCAUGGGUGCAAGGAACAUGAUUGGGAGUAGUUCUGGAGCUGGAAGCGGUGUUGGACAUGCUGCUGGUGGAGGUUAUGGACAAGGCCUUGCAGGUCCUGGCUUUGGGGGUCCUGCGGGUGGUAUGAUGCAUCCACAGAAUAUGAUGGGAGGGUUUGAUCCAACAUACAUGGGUCGAGGAGGUGGUUAUGGAGGUUUUUCGGGUCCAGGUUUUCCUGGUAUGCUUCCUUCAUUUCCUGCUGUUAAUGCAAUGGGCCUUGCUGGGGUGGCUCCUCAUGUCAACCCAGCAUUCUUUAACCGAGGAAUGGCAGCUAAUGGGAUGGGUAUGAUGGGUUCUUCUGGAAUGGAUGGACCGCAUCCAGGGAUGUGGACUGACUCAAGCAUGGGUGGAUGGUUGGGAGAGGAACAUGGACGAAGGACAAGGGAGUCAAGUUAUGGUGGUGAUGAUGGUGCUUCUGAUUAUGGGUAUGGGGAGGCAAAUCAUGAAAAAGGAGCAAGGUCAACUGCUGCCUCCCGGGAAAAGGAUCGUGGUUCUGAGCGUGACUGGUCUGGGAACACAGAUAGGAGGCACCGAGAGGAGAGGGAACAAGACUGGGACAGAUCUGAAAGGGAUCACAGAGAUCACAGACACAGGGAAGAAAAAGAUAGUUAUCGUGAUCGUCGACAAAGAGAUCGUGACUCAACUUAUGAUGACAACUGGGACAGGGGGCCGUCGUCUUCCAGAUCUCGGAGCAGGUCCCGAGCAAUCCCGGAUGAAGACCACAGAUCUCGAUCGAGAGAUGUGGACUAUGGGAAGAGGAGACGGCUACCAUCAGAGUGACAGAGUCACGCUGUUCAUUCUUCAGUGGCAUGUCAUACAAGACCUCAUAUUCUCUAUAUCUUACUGUAUUGCUCUUGGGUUGCUGCAAUGCUUCUACCUAUCGCUUUUCCUGGUUACUGUGGCCUAAAUGCAGAGGGGUUUCUUGAGGGAAAAGUAAGUUCUCAUAUUUGUAGAAGGGAAGAAUGGAUUCUGUGUUCUUUCGUUCUGCAUUCUAUAAACGUUACCGCCAACACUUAUUUGUUUGUUAAAAAAUGAUGAGUGACUUUGAGUUGCAUGCCAAUGGGGAUAUUCUAUCUAGGGUUGGACUCUUGAUAUCCUUGCCGUGUAUCCCAUUGGCUUUAUAUUUAUUCUACUGAAUCUAUUUCUGAGACAAUGGUUUUGGGGCUUCUGAUCACAUGUUACAAAGCCUACUCUAAUUCUAUGAUAGUUUGAAUUAGUUGUCCA